GAGGUGGCCCAGCACGGCACAGACCACACAGUACGUUUUGCCAAAUGGCAUGACAGAACUAGGGGUCGGAUCUCAGUCACCCCAUUCAUUUCAAAACGCCGGGUAUCUCUCCCUCCACCAUAGCCGUUUAACAUAAUGCUCUUCCUUCCAUUUACCAUUUUCAAUUUUUUGUUAACAAAAAACAAAAGCGCAUGAUCACACUGCUUCGCUCUAAACACUACAAUUUCCAAUUCCAAAUCAGUGUAAAACCAACACUUACAAAUACGGUUCUUUACUUCAAAGCUGUAUCCAAUAGGGUGACGACACCACCGGAAAAUCUCUCCACUGUGAGAUUAUAAAGAAGGGAAAUUUCUUGGACUUGUGUGCGAACAACGUUCUUUUAAUUUUGUAUGUAAAAUACGGCUCAUAGGCAGAUGCAGCUAUGCUGUUCGAUGAAAUGCCUGAGAGAUAUACGGUGUCGUUUGUUACUUUGAUUCAAGGUUAUAAUCAGCGUUUUAGAUCUUACGAUGCCAUCUGGUUGUUUUCUAGGUUUCAUGGAGAAGGUCAUGAGCUUAACCCUUUUGUUUUUAGUACUGUUUUGAAGUUGCUUGUUAUUGCUGAGUGUACUGAAUCGGGGUUUAGUGUCCAUGCAUGUGUUUGUAAGCUUGCGCCUUUGUGGGUACUGCUUUGAUUGAUUGUUACUCUGUUUGUGGGUAUGCUGAAUGUGCAAGACAAGUUUCUGAUGCGAUUGAAUGUAAGGAUAUGGUUUCUUGGACUGGGAUGGUAACUUGUUAUGCGGAGAAUGAGUGCUUUGAAGAGUCUUUGAAGCAUUUGUUUUUUCUGCAGAUGAGAAUUGUUGGGUUUAAACCAAAUAAUUUUAUUUUUGCGAGUAUGUUGAAGGCUUGUGUUGCGUUGGAGGUGUUUGAUGUUGGAAAGGCUGUACAUGGACAUGCUUUUAAAACAUCUUAUGUGGAAGAAUUUUUUUCGGUGUUGAAUUGUGGACUUGUAUAUUAAGUCUGGAGAUGUUGAUGAUGCUUUACGUGUGUUUGAAGAGAUGCCUAAAGGUGAUGUGAUUCCUUGUAGUUUUAUGAUUGCUCAGUAUGCCCAAAGCGAGCAUAGUGAAGAGACCAUUGCGUUGUUCUGCAAGAUGAGGCAAGGUUUGGUGCUUCCUAAUCAGAUUACGCUUGCUAGUUUGCUGCAAGCAUUUGCGAGCUUGGUGGAUUUGCAAUUCGGGAAGCAAAUCCAUUACCAUAUAGUUAAGGUUGGUUUAGAUACAAAUGUAUUUGUAUUCAAAUGCUCUAAUGGACAUGCAUGCAAGAUGUGGAAGAAUGGAGAACUCAAUGCAACUGUUUGUGGAAUCUCGAAAUUGUACUGAUGUGAGUUGGAAUAGGGUGAUUGUUGGCUAUGUGCAGGCAGGCAAUGGUAAGAAGGCAUUGAGUUUGUUUAAAGAUAUGCUUGAAUGCCAAGUUCAGGGAUCGGAAGUGACAUACUCUAGUGUGCUCCAUGCAUGUUCUGGUAUUGCUGCCAUGGAACCAGACAGACAGUCAUUCAUUGCUAGUGAAAACUAUUUAUGACAAGAACACUGUGGUUGGAAAUGCUUUGAUAGAUAUGUAUGCCAAGUGUGGAAGCAUUAGAGAUGCACGUUUAGUGUUUAACAUGCUAAGGGAAUGUGAUCAAGUGUCAUGGAGUGCUAUGAUUGCAGGAUAUUCUGUGCACGGGCUAUGUAGGGAAGCUCUAAAAGCUUUUGAAUUGAUGCAGGAAACAGAGUGUAAACCAGACAAGGUAACUUUUGUUGGUAUCCUGUCAGCAUGUAGCAAUGCAGGACUUUUCGAUAGAGGACAAGCUUAUUUUAAAUCUAUCAUAGAAGAUUAUGGCAUUGAACCAUGCGCAGAGCACUACAUGUAUGGUUUGGAUUUUUGGGAGAUUGGGUCAUCUUGAUAAGACUGUUAAGUUGGUCAAGGAAAUCCCAUUUGAGCCUAGUGUUAUGGUGUGGCGGUCCUUACUCAGCGCUUGUGUCGUUCAUAUGAUGUUGAACUUGGAAGAAUCUCUGCCCGGCGUGUUCUUGAGAUAGAACCAGAAGAUGAGGCAACAUAUGCAUAAUUGUCAAACAUAUAUGCUAAUGCAAGGAAGUGGGGAAAUGUGGCUUCCAUUAGGAAAAGCAUGAAAAGGAAAGGAGUCACGAAAGAACCGGGCCUAAGUUGGAUUGUGAACCACGGUGGGGUUCAUUAUUUCUCUGUAGGAGACAUUUCACAUCCUCACAGAAAAUGAUUAAGGGGAUGCUGGAGUGGUUGAACGUGAAAGCCAGGAAUGAAGGUCAUGUUCCUGAUUGUAGUUCUGUUUUGCUUGAUGUGGACGAUGUUGAUAAGGAACAGUGGUUGUGGGUCCACAGUGAAAGACUAGCUUUAGCAUAUGGUCUAAUUAGAACUCCAUCCAUAUGCCAUGUUCACAUUAUAAAGAAUCUCCGUAUAUGUGCUGGCAGUCAUACUGCAAUAAAAUAAAUGUCAGAUUGUGCGCUGAGAUAUCAUUAUCAGAGAUAGGAACCAUUUCCAUCAUUUUCAGGAGGGGAUUUACUCUUGUGUCGGCUAUUGGUGAUUGACUUGCAAAUAUAGAUUUUGAUUUUUUUUGGAGCUAGAAUUUACAUCUCUUUGAUAAAGUUCCAUAUAAUGGUGGUUCGCAUAUUGAGAGGACUAAACUUUCUGCUUUAUAGCCAUGAAAGCAAAUCCAUAAUAAUUUAUGUCCGUGCACUGCUAAACUCUGACCACUAAAAUGCAGUUGUGCAUCAGCCAUAUGUCAGCUCAGCUGCAAAAGCUUCGGUAUUCACAAAGGAUGGAUUCUUGCCCCUAGAAAAUGAAGUGCGUGAGGUUUGGAGGUGUGGCUUUAUAAAUAUCCGUUAAUAUAUUAAUUGAUCUUCUUGAAGUGGUGUUUUUUAAUUGGUUUGGGAUAGUUAGCAACUUCUGAACUCUGUAUUGAGUGAUUGAUUUGAUGCAUCCCCAAUUAUUCACAUCUGCUGGAGAAAUUUAUUGCCUUUGAGAAGGAUGUGGCUUUAUAAAAGAUGCGUGUCUCUAAGAAAAGUGCUUGACGGAUCCUCUUGGAUUUUCUCGCUGAUCAUCCUAUUUUGACUAGUCUAGCUGAUGAAAGUGCCUCUCAGCUGUCUUUGCUGAGGGACUAUAUAGUAUAUACUUACACAAACACUUUAAACUUGCACAAGGGUAAGAGAGUAAGCUGCCUCUUUUCUCUUGAAAUAUGCUUCAACUUUAGAAUUUUGGUUUUGAAAGUGUUUAUCUUGUUUGCCUUUUAAAGUUGUUAUUGAUCAUCAGAACUUGUGAACUCAUAACAUUGAAGCUUGGUACUUUGAUGCGCUGCCUUGAUAUAUGUACAUGAUGCAUCUUCCAGGUUUUAUUAGGGUAACUGUAUCCACUUUCCUUGUUGAGUUGAUUUUAGGCCAUAAAAACAAGAAGAAAAGGAAGUAUUAUCACUAAGCAAGUUUCGUGGAUGGAGAUAUUUAAUCAUUCUUUCUGGUGGUUGGGAUCUAUACGUAUACAAUAAUACAAUAAUAAGUUUUUAUUGAAGCUUUUGGACUCAGAUUGCCUCUCAUUUUUUGUUCAAACAUAAUAAAGUUGGUUUCAAAGCACCGCCUUCGAUGGUCUUUUCCAAAGCAGCUAUGACGAUUUGCAACUAGAAUUUUUUCUUCCGAACUUUUGUUACAUAAAUAUGUUACCAUGGAUCGUCCAUGUUUUAUGUUGGUUAAAUCAUCUACUUUUGAUUAUUGAAGUUGUCCUGGAGAGACUUGGUUGAAUUAAGUCAUUGUUUAUUUUGUGCAAUAAACAAAAAUGAAGAAAUUCCCCAGCACUGUAUGUGUGUGGGCAUAUUUAUGAAU
Long non-coding RNA from Populus trichocarpa (black cottonwood), 3856 nucleotides. RefSeq lists it as uncharacterized. NCBI's taxonomy places the organism in Eukaryota, Viridiplantae, Streptophyta, Magnoliopsida, Malpighiales, Salicaceae. The transcript is spliced from 2 exons. The record is from RefSeq and is a predicted model, not a curated record.